GAGACCGAGGAGGUUUAGACUCGUUACUCGCCAUUGGCGUGGCAGGGCGAGGCGUCCCUCGCGCUGCAAUAAGGGCCUAUUGGCGUGCAGGCCUUGAGGCGUGCGGAGGAAUGGAGACUGACUUGCGAGACGUCUCUCGGCGGUAUGAGGCGGGUACUGUGAGAUUCUGUCUGUGACCAGGAGGCGGCGGUGGUUCCAUUCUUCUCAUUUCCUGAAUUCUUGAAACUUCAAAAGCAUGAAACUGAGUUUUGAUUGGCUAAGCCACCAACAGAAAGGCUCUCUCCUGCAUCAAGACCCAGAGACAGCACCUCAGAGAAGGGUUGCGUGGAGAAGACCGGGUGAAGCAGAGCCCUCAGACCUUGAGACUUCGGGAGGGAGACAGUGUCAGCCUCAACUGCAGUUACACGGGGUGAGCAGUAAACAGAAGGUGAUGCAGAGUCCGGAAGCUCUGAAUGUCCAAGAGGGAGACAGCGUGGUUCUCAACUGCAGUUACACCGGUAGCACUUUUUAUUCCCUUCAGUGGUUUAGGCAGGACCCUGGCAAAGGACUCACAGUUCUGUUGUUGAUUCAGUCAGCUCAGAGAGAAGAAACAAGUGGAAGAAUUAAAGCCUCGCUGGAUAAACCGUCAAAACACAGUACUUUAUACAUUGCAGCUUCUCAGCCCAGCGACUCGGCCACCUACCUCUGUGCUAUAGAGGCACAGUGCACAACAGGAUCCUGGCACCAAUACCCAAACUCUGCAGCUGGGGCUCCACCCACGUGCCCUAUCUUGAAGCUGAGGAAUCUUUCUCCAUCGAGGGGCUUUCUAAAUUGACUCUUUUCCCAGAUAGAAGCAAUUAACUAUGCAAAACCUGAUCUAUAUAUGUACACACACAUAUGUAUGUGUAUAUAUGCGCAUCUAUGCAUAUGUAUACAUAUAUAUGCACAUAUACGUAUCUGCACAUAUGUAUCUGAAGUUACAUUUGAUCUUUAGAUUUUUAUCAACUUCAACUUCAGUAAUAGCUUUGUCGAGAUUAAUUCACAGGCCAAACAAUUCAUUCUUUUAAAAUGAAUAAUUAAGUGGCAUCUAGUACAUCCACUAUGUUGUACAACCACCACCUCUAUCUAGUUUCAAAACCUUGUCAUCACCCGGAAAGGAAACCACAUACCCAUUAAGCAGUUGCUUACCAUUCUCCCCUCCCCCAGCCCCUGGUCACCUGCAGUCUGUCUCUAUGGGUUUAUUUAUUCUGUUCAUUUCACAUAAAUGGAAUUGUACAGCC
Felis catus (domestic cat) is the source of this 1259-nucleotide non-coding RNA. The record is from the annotation of a RefSeq genome assembly. Lineage: Eukaryota; Metazoa; Chordata; Mammalia; Carnivora; Felidae.